RNAcentral lists this ribosomal RNA (490 nucleotides) under uncultured bacterium. RNAcentral describes it as "partial 16S ribosomal RNA". It matches the Rfam family "Bacterial small subunit ribosomal RNA", at positions 30 to 507 of the family's 1533-position model. The record is from RNAcentral.
AUUGAACGCUGGCGGCAGGCCUAACACAUGCAAGUCGAACGGUAACAGGAAGAAGCUUGCUUCUUUGCUGACGAGUGGCGGACGGGUGAGUCAUGUCUGGGAAACUGCCUGAUGGAGGGGGAUAACUACUGGAAACGGUAGCUAAUACCGCAUAACGUCGCAAGACCAAAGAGGGGGACCUUCUGGCCUCUUGCCAUCGGAUGUGCCCAGAUGGGAUUAGCUAGUAGGUGGGGUAACGGCUCACCUAGGCGACGAUCCCUAGCUGGUCUGAGAGGAUGACCAGCCACACUGGAACUGAGACACGGUCCAGACUCCUACGGGAGGCAGCAGUGGGGAAUAUUGCACAAUGGGCGCAAGCCUGAUGCAGCCAUGCCGCGUGUAUGAAGAAGGCCUUCGGGUUGUAAAGUACUUUCAGCGGGGAGGAAGGGAGUAAAGUUAAUACCUUUACUCAUUGACGUUACCCGCAGAAGAAGCACCGGCUAACUCCGUG